CAAGGAAUUUUGCGCAAUGGACGAAAGUCUGACGCAGCAACGCCGCGUGGGGGAUGAAGGCCCUCGGGUUGUAAACCCCUUUUGCGAGGGAAGAAGAUCUGACGGUACCUCGCGAAUAAGCCACGGCUAACUACGUGCCAGCAGCCGCGGUAAUACGUAGGUGGCAAGCGUUGUCCGGAUUUACUGGGCGUAAAGCGCGCGCAGGCGGACUGGUCAGUCUGGGGUGAAAGCUCACGGCUCAACCGUGAGUGGUCCCUGGAUACUGCCAGUCUUGAGAUGUCUAGAGGAGAGCGGAAUUCCCGGUGUAGUGGUGGAAUGCGUAGAUAUCGGGAAGAACACCAGUGGCGAAAGCGGCUCUCUGGGGACCAUCUGACGCUGAGGCGCGAAAGCGUGGGGAGCGAACCG
This 405-nucleotide ribosomal RNA is filed under the name uncultured bacterium. RNAcentral describes it as "bacterial SSU rRNA". It matches the Rfam family "Bacterial small subunit ribosomal RNA", at positions 355 to 775 of the family's 1533-position model. The record is from RNAcentral.